GACUCCUGAGCUAUGUUGCCUCCUCAUUUGAACUCCAUUCUUCUUCUCUUCUUGUAGAUCAUCAAUGUUGUCCUCUUGUUUCUAUCAACAUGUUUUUCUUCAGCUUUCAAGAAGGGAGCUCUUCUUUGAUUGUUGAAUCUCAUCACUGGGUAAUUUUUCUCUUGCUUCCUUUCCGACUUCUCCAAAACAUCAGACUCCAUCAUUUAUACAGGUAAAAUCGUUGUGAAGUGCAAGGGAAGCUUCACGCUUUUGCCCUAUAGUGGUGUAUUCACUAAUUAGGUUUCCAUAUUCUAAACCAACCCUAGCUCUUCCCAUUUUGCCAAGUCCUUUUGAAGGCUGAAAUAGCCUAGACUAGAUAGGAUUUCACUCUUUUGUUGCCAAAGAGGCAUUUGUAAUUAAUUAGCUGCAAAAAACUGUAUCCUUUAGCCUUGUUCGCCCUAUUAUCCUUUGAUGGAUGAAACUCUUAAGUAAGGGCUCUGUAAUUUAUCACUGUUGACUAUUCUCCUUCCUGCAGAUUCCAUCAUGUGAAAAUAUUUAUAGUUGCAGUUAUUUGUAUCCAAAACAUGAUUAGCUAGA
Molecule: long non-coding RNA, 576 nt
Organism: Capsicum annuum
Lineage: Eukaryota; Viridiplantae; Streptophyta; Magnoliopsida; Solanales; Solanaceae
Exons: 2
Source: RefSeq, a predicted model, not a curated record